GGCGAACGGGUGAGUAACGCGUGAGUAACCUGCCCUGGAGUGGGGGACAACAGUUGGAAACGACUGCUAAUACCGCAUAAGCCCACGGAUCCGCAUGGAUCUGCGGGAAAAGGAUUUAUUCGCUUCAGGAUGGACUCGCGUCCAAUUAGCUAGUUGGUGAGGUAACGGCCCACCAAGGCGACGAUUGGUAGCCGGACUGAGAGGUUGAACGGCCACAUUGGGACUGAGACACGGCCCAGACUCCUACGGGAGGCAGCAUG
RNAcentral lists this ribosomal RNA (260 nucleotides) under uncultured bacterium. RNAcentral describes it as "partial 16S ribosomal RNA". It matches the Rfam family "Bacterial small subunit ribosomal RNA", at positions 97 to 353 of the family's 1533-position model. The record is from RNAcentral.